Molecule: transfer RNA, 76 nt
Filed under: Acholeplasma sp.
Lineage: Bacteria; Bacillati; Mycoplasmatota; Mollicutes; Acholeplasmatales; Acholeplasmataceae
Description: tRNA-Ala
Rfam family: tRNA
About the family: Transfer RNA (tRNA) molecules are approximately 80 nucleotides in length. Their secondary structure includes four short double-helical elements and three loops (D, anti-codon, and T loops). Further hydrogen bonds mediate the characteristic L-shaped molecular structure. tRNAs have two regions of fundamental functional importance: the anti-codon, which is responsible for specific mRNA codon recognition, and the 3' end, to which the tRNAs corresponding amino acid is attached (by aminoacyl-tRNA synthetases). tRNAs cope with the degeneracy of the genetic code in two manners: having more than one tRNA (with a specific anti-codon) for a particular amino acid; and 'wobble' base-pairing, i.e. permitting non-standard base-pairing at the 3rd anti-codon position.
Source: RNAcentral
GGGGACUUAGCUCAGCUGGGAGAGCGCCUGCCUUGCACGCAGGAGGUCAGGGGUUCGAUCCUUCUAGUCUCCACCA